GUCCGCUAAGGGAUACGGUGUUCUUCCUGAGCGGGCACGGUUCUCGGUGCCGGGUGCUCAGAAAACAUGCGUCCCUUAGAGUCCCACGGAAAGGUUCUCAGUGCGAUCUCUAUCAAGGAAGUGUUGGAAGUUAGUGUUUUCGGAAAGAAACGGCAGUUCCACAGAACAUUCCAUUUCACAGAGGCUCUGGGAACGAUUCAUGUUUGCUAUGAGUCUUGAUAAAUUGGAGAAGAGCCCAAGAGAAAUUUUUCAUCCCUUGAUAUAAAAGGAUUUAUUGGUUCUGGAAGAACAAGAGGGAAGUACAAGCCUAACUACUUCUAGCUCACAGACCCGUCCAGUGAACCCAGGGAUCGGUGAAUUUUAACUUUGGAGUCCACUAUGCUAAGGAUGCUCAGCUUACAGGUGAUGAAAUGUUCAGUAAUGUAUUUGCUGCAGCUCUGCUUACCCAAGCUUUGGGUUCCUUCUGUCCCACUGGGAGUUGCCCAGUUUGGUUGCAUCUGGUGAAAUUCACCCUGAGACCUUACAGAACUAGCUCCAACUACGUGAGAGCCAUUUGCAGUUCUCUCCAGACACCUGGAGAAUGGGUGACGUUUCUGAGGAUCCGGCGAGCGUGCUUCUAUCAAAACUCAGUCUGUGAAAUUCCUGGGGAAAACCCUUCUGUGUCCUGAAGGGUUCAAACUCUGGCGAGGAUCCCGUUAUCAGGUGCUCACCUGGAUGGUUCCAGCUGCCAAAGGGAAAGACUCUCGUAUCCUUGUCGUCGGGCUCGGUGCUGUCCAAGAAGAUACGGGGACUAAAAAAAUCAUAAGAAGCAAAAUAUGACUGCAGGGAAAAGAAGCUGGAGAGAACAGAAGACUCAUCACGGCGGGACAGCGUGAGGACUGAAAGUGUAAGAAGAUGUGGAGGGAAAGAGAGAAUCUGACAGGAGCAGCGAACGCACGAGUGCACGAAUUUUGCUUUUUGCUUGGAUGUAAACUCAGGAGUUGAGAGGAAUUUGGGAGUGAGAAGGGACAUUUCAGAAGGAGAAGAAGAAAAAGAAGUUGUUGCUACAGUCCUGGCAAAAGCUUUUGUUCUAGCUAAUAAAAGAAGUUAGUUUAAAAAACAAAAAGGAAAAAAUGUAGUGUUUUUUUUUUCCUUCACUAUGAUAUUCAUUGGUGGUAUAUGGUGUGUUGUUUUAUUUCUUGGUAUUAUUAACUCUGUGUAAAUUGUUUUUUGAGUGAAGCUGACUUUCUGGAUGGGUUGGUUUGUAUUUGAGGCAGGAUUAAUUUCAGUAGGGUUCUUUCAUAGAUUUCUGAUGGGUAUUACUGGGAUUUUGGUUUUGUUUACUGUAUGUAUGAACCUAGAGCUUUGGUAGGGCCAGCUGGGCUGCUGGAGUUUUGGGUGUGAAUUUAUUAGAUGGCUUUUGUUAGAUGCAGUUUUUAAUUUUUGAAAUGUUUUUCAAUGUAGUGGUUUUAAGGUGGUUUUUAAGAAUUCAUUGUAUUGCUUUAUCUUGUUUGUAGUUGGUGUAUGAUAAGGGAUGUGGUGUGAGUUCUUGAACAUUAUGGUUUUGGUGUUCCUAAGUUCUGAUUUCUUUGUGGUUCAAUAUUUUUUUUUAUUUUUAUUUUUUGGGACAGGGGCAUUUAUAUGGUGGGUUUUUAUAGGCAAUAUGUUUUUUAAUUUAGGUAGUGAUAUUUUUUAAUAUUUUAAUAGUUUAGGUUUUUUAUUUUCAUGGUUUUAAUUAUUUUUUUUAAUUUUUUGAAAUAACUUUUAUAGAUUACAUGUUAUUAUUUGUGCAUUAACAUAAAGGUAGAGCUUUGGGGACUUUUUUUAGUAAUGUUUAGGGUCAGUUGUGCAGUUUUGAGUCUAGUGCGUUGGUUUGAUUUAAUUUUUAAUGGGUGUUUGUUUUUAUUAGCAGUUGUGUCAUUUUCAAGGUGUGUUUGAGUUUUUUGGGGUUUUUGAGAUACUGGUUUAGGAGGAAGUUUAUGAUGAGAAUGUGCGGAGGUUUUGGGCUACUUUAUAGUGAGAUUUAAAAUUUAUUUACAGUUAGGUUUAUUUGAGUUUUUAUUAGGGUUCAGUGACGUUGUGGGAUGUUUGUUCUGUUAGUAAUAGAAAUAGGUUUUGUUUUGCUGUGCUGCGAUGGGAUGGGCGUGUGCUGCGUGCCGGUGCUGACAAAGGUACAGUAUUGUUGUGGCUCUGGUGCGUCGGGUUAAUGAACUGACAUGGUUUAAUAUAGAGAUGAAAAUAGAAAUAAAUAUACAUUUAAAAAUAAAUAUAACAUUAGAGUGGUAAACAUAAAUAUAGAUAACAGAUACAUACAUAAAACUAUAAUAUAUGGUAUAUAAUUGUAACAUGUUAUCAUAUAGAUAAAUGAUAGUCUAUUUUAUAUAUAUAUA
This is a long non-coding RNA of Melospiza melodia melodia, 2369 nucleotides long. RefSeq lists it as uncharacterized. The record is from RefSeq and is a predicted model, not a curated record. The transcript is spliced from 9 exons. NCBI's taxonomy places the organism in Eukaryota, Metazoa, Chordata, Aves, Passeriformes, Passerellidae.